This 386-nucleotide ribosomal RNA is filed under the name Argas japonicus. RNAcentral describes it as "partial 12S ribosomal RNA". The record is from RNAcentral. Lineage: Eukaryota; Metazoa; Arthropoda; Arachnida; Ixodida; Argasidae.
AAACUAGGAUUAGAUACCCUAUUAUUAUGGCAUAGCGUCUAAGAGAUGUUAGUAUGUAAUAUUUGUGAAUCAAAAGAUUUUGGCGGUAUUCUAAGCUUUUUAGAGGAAUUUGCUCUGUAAUUGAUGAAACACCAAUAUCUUACUUAGUUUAGUGAGGGCAGUUUGUAUAUCGCUAUUUUAAAAAUUAUAUUGAAUGGUAAUGAUUGAAAUAAAUAUUUUUUUAAAAUGUUAGGUCAAGAUGCAGCUUAUAAUUAAGAUUGAAGUGAAUUACGGUUAUUUUUAUUGGGUAAAAUGAAAAAGUUUUUAGGAUUUAAAAGUAAAAUAGAAUUAUAAUGUUUAUUUGAAUAAAGCUCUAGAAUAUGUACACAUCGCCCGUCGCUCUCAUU